RNAcentral lists this unclassified non-coding RNA (250 nucleotides) under plant metagenome. Its description in RNAcentral is "partial contains small subunit ribosomal RNA, internal transcribed spacer 1, and 5.8S ribosomal RNA". The stretch from base 173 to 250 matches the Rfam family "5.8S ribosomal RNA", at positions 1 to 54 of the family's 154-position model. The record is from RNAcentral.
GUAGGUGAACCUGCGGAAGGAUCAUUCAUAAUAAGUGUUUUACUGCACUUUUUAAAAAUAGUACUCACCUUGUGUGCAAUGUUGUGUUUCUUUUCGGAGAAACACCUACACCAACCUAUAACCUUGAACCACUUUGUCUGAAAAACUAUUAUGAAUACUUAAUUCAAAAUACAACUUUCAACAACGGAUCUCUUGGCUCUCGCAUCGAUGAAGAACGCAGCAUCUGACUGACUACGUGGUUACGUAUCUC